AUGGACGAAGUCUGACCGAGCAACGCCGCGUGAGUGAAGAAGGUUUUCGGAUCGUAAAACUCUGUUGGUAGAGAAGAACGUUGGUGAGAGUGGAAAGCUCAUCAAGUGACGGUAACUACCCAGAAAGGGACGGCUAACUACGUGCCAGCAG
RNAcentral lists this ribosomal RNA (151 nucleotides) under uncultured Lactobacillus sp. Its description in RNAcentral is "partial 16S ribosomal RNA". It matches the Rfam family "Bacterial small subunit ribosomal RNA", at positions 371 to 514 of the family's 1533-position model. Lineage: Bacteria; Bacillati; Bacillota; Bacilli; Lactobacillales; Lactobacillaceae. The record is from RNAcentral.